RNAcentral lists this ribosomal RNA (429 nucleotides) under Bacteroidota bacterium. RNAcentral's name for it is "Bacteroidetes bacterium partial 16S ribosomal RNA". It matches the Rfam family "Bacterial small subunit ribosomal RNA", at positions 355 to 776 of the family's 1533-position model. Lineage: Bacteria; Pseudomonadati; Bacteroidota. The record is from RNAcentral.
UAGGGAAUCUUCCGCAAUGGGCGCAAGUCUGACGGAGCAACGCCGCGUGAGUGAAGAAGGAUUUCGGUUCGUAAAACUCUGUUGUUAGAGAAGAACAGCGCAUAGAGUAACUGUUAUGCGUGUGACGGUAUCUAACCAGAAAGCCACGGCUAACUACGUGCCAGCAGCCGCGGUAAUACGUAGGUGGCAAGCGUUGUCCGGAUUUAUUGGGCGUAAAGCGAGCGCAGGCGGUCAAUUAAGUCUGAUGUGAAAGCCCCCGGCUCAACCGGGGAGGGUCGGUGGAAACUGUUUGACUUGAGUGCAGAAGAGGAGAGUGGAAUUCCAUGUGUAGCGGUGAAAUGCGUAGAUAUAUGGAGGAAACCCAGUGGCGAAGGCGACUCUCUGGUCUAUAACUGACGCUGAGGCUCGAAAGCGUGGGUAGCAAACAGG